Molecule: long non-coding RNA, 533 nt
Filed under: Penaeus japonicus
Lineage: Eukaryota; Metazoa; Arthropoda; Malacostraca; Decapoda; Penaeidae
Description: uncharacterized LOC122261900
Source: RNAcentral
CCCCUAGUGACUAGACGGUGGCUCUCGACGCUCCGACCUUCCUCCGCCUCUCUCCUCCGCACAGCAAAUGGCAGUGCUGUCUCGCCCUCGUCCUACAGUUGAACAACAAUGCAACUAAUUGCAACACCUGCCAUCGGAAAGCGUCAGCCACAAUGGGUCUCGGCGCCACCGUUUCCAUGGAGAAGGUAAACAAUGCUCAGUGAUUGUGCAAGUAACGCUUCUACUCACCCGAUGGUCAGACAGAUGUAAAAAAAAAAAAAAAAAAAAAAGAAAAAAGAAAGAAAGAGAAAAAAAAGUCUUAUUCAAGUGGUGUGGAAGGGUUCAGAGUCGGUCCGUCAUUUACUUAGAUGAAUAGCAUUAAUCAGAAUGUAUACCUUUCUGCAGAAUGUAAACUUCGAGGCAAAUAAAGUAAAUAGCAUGUGUUUCUGAUCGAAUUACACUCUUCUGGCCAUGUAGAAUAAGAGUAGGAUUCGGGUGAGCGGUAGUGUGAACACCCCUUCCCUUUGCCUGUGCUCUUGUAAUACAAAAAAAUA